AACGAACGCUGGCGGCAUGCCUAACACAUGCAAGUCGAACGAGACCUUCGGGUCUAGUGGCGCACGGGUGCGUAACGCGUGGGAACCUGCCCUUAGGUUCGGAAUAACUCCCCGAAAGGGGUGCUAAUACCGGAUAAUGUCUUCGGACCAAAGAUUUAUCGCCUUUGGAUGGGCCCGCGUUGGAUUAGCUAGUUGGUAGGGUAAAAGCCUACCAAGGCGACGAUCCAUAGCUGGUCUGAGAGGAUGCUCAGCCACACUGGGACUGAGACACGGCCCAGACUCCUACGGGAGGCAGCAGUGGGGAAUACUGGACACUGGGCGAAAGCCUGAUCCAGCAAUGCCGCGUGAGUGAUGAAGGCCUUAGGGUUGUAAAGCUGUUUUAGCCGGGAUGAUAAUGACAGUACCGGGAGAAUAAGCUCCGGCUAACUCCGUG
Molecule: ribosomal RNA, 433 nt
Filed under: uncultured bacterium
Lineage: Bacteria
Description: partial 16S ribosomal RNA
Rfam family: Bacterial small subunit ribosomal RNA
Source: RNAcentral